GUCUCUAUGAAGUUACAUAGAGUCUAGCCUGCCCAUUGAAAUAUUUUAAAAGGCCGCGGUAUCCUAACUGUGCAAAGGUAGCAUAAUCAUUAGUUUUUUAAUUGAAGGCUAGUAUGAAGGGCUGGACAAAGAAAAAACUCUCUUUAUAUUUAUAUUUGAACUUUACUUUUAAGUGAAAAGGCUUAAAUAAUUUUAAGGGACGAUAAGACCCUAUAAAUCUUUAUAUUAACUUAUUUAUAUAUUAAUGUAAACUUUAAUAAAAUAAGAUAUUUUGUUGGGGCGACAAGAAUAUAAACCAACUGUUCUAAAUAUAAACAAAACUAUUUGUUUUUCAUAGAUCCUUCAUUUAGAUUAUAAGUUUAAGUUACUUUAGGGAUAACAGCGUUAUUUUUUUUAAGAGUUCUUAUCGAAAAAAAAGUUUGCGACCUCGAUGUUGAAUUAAAAUUUCUCUGUGGUGCAGCCGCUACAGUA
RNAcentral lists this ribosomal RNA (471 nucleotides) under Antillimunida flinti. RNAcentral describes it as "Munida flinti partial large subunit ribosomal RNA". It matches the Rfam family "Bacterial large subunit ribosomal RNA", at positions 1819 to 2569 of the family's 2925-position model. Lineage: Eukaryota; Metazoa; Arthropoda; Malacostraca; Decapoda; Munididae. The record is from RNAcentral.